This 201-nucleotide non-coding RNA is filed under the name Candidatus Rifleibacteriota bacterium. RNAcentral describes it as "6S RNA". It matches the Rfam family "6S / SsrS RNA". From Rfam's summary of the family: E. coli 6S RNA was the first non coding RNA to be sequenced, but its function was unknown until recently. It consists of 184 nucleotides that fold into an extended hairpin structure with a large single-stranded internal bulge. The 6S RNA specifically associates with RNA polymerase holoenzyme containing the sigma70 specificity factor. Lineage: Bacteria; Candidatus Rifleibacteriota. The record is from RNAcentral.
CGAUCCCUGCGGUGUGCGUGAUGACGCUGAUGUUUUGAGCCAACACCAGUGAGAGAGGGAAUCUGGUUUCAGUUUGAUGCGGGGCGAGCCCGAGGGCCUCGUGCCCACGAAGCGAGCGUCGUGUCUCCACUGAGCAGACAACCGACCUGUAUGCCAAUACAGGUUCAAAACUCCAAGUCACACGGCAUCUGCGGGGAUUCU